This is a non-coding RNA of Triticum aestivum (bread wheat), 124 nucleotides long. Lineage: Eukaryota; Viridiplantae; Streptophyta; Magnoliopsida; Poales; Poaceae. The record is from Rfam.
UAUGUACUCCCUCCGUCCGGAAAUACUUGUCGGAGGAAUGGAUGUAUCUAGACGUAUUUUAGUUCUAGAUACAUCUUUUUUAUGCAUUUCUUCGACAAGUAUUUCCGGACGGAGGAAGUAUUUU